GGAGCCGCCCCGCCCAGGUGCUGCCCGGGCAGGCAGGAGGCAGGAGCGCGGGCGGGGCGGGGGCGGGCGCGUGAAUCAGGCCGGGCGGGCGCGCCGGGGAGUGGCUGCCGGACCGACCGGACCGCGAGGCCGCUGGGCGGCGGUCGGCUCCUGCUGCCCCUGUGCCGAGACCCCGCGCACCUGGCCAGGUAGGACCCCCUCCCGGGCCGGAGCGGGCGGGCGCGGAGCGCCGAAGAGUUCGGGGCUCUGCGCGCCCUCACCUGGGCUGGCGCAGUGUGCGCGGCCGCGUGCGUGGGGCUGGCCGGGCCUGGCCUGCGGGGCCCGGCGGGGGACGAAGGGCCGGGACGCUGUAGGUUUCUGGGUGAGACGCCCCCUACGACGCCGGCCCAGGAGGAGCCCAGAGCGAAAGGGUCCGGGCCCCUGCUAGAGACCCGGCGUCUGACCGGCUCCUGCCUUCGCGGCCCGUACUCUUCCUGGGAGCCGUCCUCCAAGGCUGCCAUGGACUGGGGUGGUGUACUGGGCAGGUAGAGCGGGAGGCCUGUGCCGCUUGAGCCCAUGUACCUGGACUGGAGUGAGCAGAUGAGGCACCUGGCCUGGACAGCCGCUAACUUGCUUCCUGGGGUACGUGACACCCUUAGGUCCUGCUGUGCCCACUCCGCAAGCUAUAACUCAUGGACUUCCGGUCUGUGAGCCCAUCCAGCCAAGGUCCACCUCCCGGCUUCCUGAUCCUGCCCCUUCCCUUGCCUCAGUCUUUGACCACUGGUUAUCUCACUUUGUGUAGGAGCCCAGAUCCUUCCCAGGGAAUCUCUCUUCCUGCCCAGGUAGGAAGGAUCGGGUCCUUGAAGUGGAGGUGAGGGCCUUUAAGGCUCUUUCAGGCUUCAGGUCAGAGGUCAGCCGCAGAGGAUUCCUGCUGAGUCAUUGGUCUGGGUGGGCUAGGCCCCUUCCUCCCUCGGGGCCCAGGUGGGUAGGUAAAUGGGGAGAAGCAGGCUGAUGGGGCUUCACUGAGGAAUGGGGAGUGGCCAUUUCCCAGUCCACAGUCCAGGGGGAUUCUUGCCCUUUAAAGAAACAGGCCAGGGGUAAGGUGAUUGGAGGUGGUAAGCAUUGCUGUGAGGCCCACCUCCCGCGGGUGGGGGAUGGCCAGGCAGGAUGGGGACUCCCCUUCAAACCAGUAGUGCCUGUGGGAAGGCUCCUCACCAGAGGUCACAAACUGGACACUUGUCCUCCCCACUCCCGAUGAAUCUGUUCCCUUCCCCAGUGAAAUCUGAAGGAACAGCAGUGGCCCUUCCAGCGUGUCUUCCCCACGCCUCCCCAAAUAGCAGGCCGGUGCCUCUAGGCCUGUCCAGUCAGACACUGCCCACAUACAGCCUGACCAGAUAGUGGUAAAUUGUUGGUCCUGCCACAAUGGUCAGAUGCAGUGAGGCCCGUCCAGGCAGACAGGCCAACACUCAACUCACAGGUGGGCUGCCAGGCCUGCUGCUGCACCACAGGACUGCGCCCCACCCCGCACAUCAAGCAUGAAGGGAGACUGUGUGGUCAGGGCAGUGCCCCAAGAAGGAAGAACAGUUUUUCCUGGGACAAGUGGGCCAGGUGGCAUUCCCCGGCAGUUAUAGGAGUGUCCCCACCUCAGCUCUGUGUCACAUUCUGUCUUAGAAUGUCACCCCCAGGAACACCAGGUGGCACAGGUCCCAGGGUAUGCAUAGCAGAGCCUGACCCCAACAUUCUCAGGCAGGUAUGGCUUCCAACCCAGUGUAGGCCAGGGCCCCAUCCUGUCAGCACUCCUGGCCACACCUUGGGGUACACUCUUCCCCCUAGGCAGAGCCACUUCCCCAUCUGGGACUGGCAUCCAGUAACCUGUGUGCUAAGCAGAGCAGGAGUCUGCCCCAUCCCCGAACAGGAGCAGUGGGGACAGGGUGAGCGGUUCUGGGUGCUCCCACAGGCCUAGAGGCCACAGUCUCUAAGUAUGUUCAGUGGUCAUGCUGGUCAGCAUCCUAGAGGCCAGCCACCAAGCGGGGAGAUGUGAAGGGCAUGAAACUGAGCCAUGGAAAAGGCUGAUACCAUUCUUAGUCUCUUAGUGAGCAGGAGGAAGACAGUGACCUAAGGAAUUGGAAAGGUCCCAACUGCCAUGGGGCUGGGCUAGGCAAGGACAGGCCCUAUAGCAAAGGGCUGUGGUCCAGGGAGGUUUCAUCCAAGAUGAGACAGUGGCAACAGGUGGGGGUGCUGGCAAGCAGGAACCAAUCCCAGGGGUCAGCACUGGGAGGUCAGUGAAAGGGUGGUGGGAGUCCUGGUGAAACCCUAAGGAUGGGAAGAGGUGUGGCCCUGGGCAGUGGGUGGGGCCUAGGGCUAUGCCAUCCCAGGAUGAAGUCACAGCCUGGUAUGUCCCGUCAACCCUCCUGGCUGUGCUGUAUGGUGGAGGUGAUGGCUGGAGAGGCACAGCGGCUAGUCCGGGGUCUCCCAGGCAGCAGGCACAGCACUGCCUCGACCAGUGGGCACGGUGCUAGGGACCACAGCAAUAUGAAGGGGCUGUUGAUAGUGAGUCCAGCGAGGGUUGUGUUUGUCUUUGAACCAGCCAUCAAACUGUUAGAAUCUGUUUUUAUGGGAAAGGGCUCAUGAGAGCAGGACCCCUAUCAAUAAGGGCAGAAGAAGGGGAACAGGGCUGGGAUUCCUGUGACAUGCCUGGCACUUCUGAUGUCCUUCCAACUAGGGGGCAUCCUAGGCCUGGGGAGGCCUCCAGGUAUGGGCUGAACUCCAGUCCACUGAAGUCUCUGGAAACCCUGUGUGAGGGUAAAGGAGCAGGCCCCAGUGCCCCUGCCCCUCAUUAAGGUAUCUCCUCUCCAGGCCCCUGGCCCCAACAUGGCUCGCCGCUCUCAGAGUUCCUCGCAGGGGGAUAACCCACUGGCGCCUGGGUACCUGCCACCUCACUACAAAGAGUACUACCGCUUGGCGGUGGAUGCGUUGGCAGAGGGUGGACCAGAAGCCUAUAACCGCUUCCUGGCUACAGAGGGGGCACCCGACUUCCUGUGUCCUGAGGAGCUAGAGCAUGUGAACCGCCACCUACAGCCCCCACAGCAUGCUGCCCGGGAGCCCCCUGAAGGCAGCCCUCCUGAUGUGGACAUGGAUGGCUCCUCAGGCACAUACUGGCCAGUGAACUCAGACCAGGCAGUUCCUGAGCUUGACCUGGGCUGGCCCCUGACCUUCGGCUUCCAGGGCACUGAAGUCACCACGCUAGUGCAGCCGCCGCCACCUGAUAGCCCCAGCAUCAAGGAUGAGGCUCGAAGGAUGAUCCGCUCUGCCCAGCAGGUGCACGGUCGCAGGCUCUGUGGGCAGUG
This 3326-nucleotide long non-coding RNA is filed under the name Marmota monax (woodchuck). The record is from RNAcentral. Lineage: Eukaryota; Metazoa; Chordata; Mammalia; Rodentia; Sciuridae.